This 396-nucleotide ribosomal RNA is filed under the name uncultured bacterium. RNAcentral's name for it is "bacterial SSU rRNA". It matches the Rfam family "Bacterial small subunit ribosomal RNA", at positions 127 to 518 of the family's 1533-position model. The record is from RNAcentral.
UUCCCUAUAGUAGAGAAUAGACCCGGUGAAAAUCGGAUUAAUGCUCUAUGUUAUUCAAUGCGGACAUCUAAGUUGAAUCAAAGGUUUACCGCUAUAGGGAUGGGGAUGCGUCUGAUUAGGUUGUUGCGGGGUAACGGCCCACCAAGCCCACGAUCAGUAGGGGUUCUGAGAGGAAGGUCCCCCACAUUGGAACUGAGACACGGUCCAAACUCCUACGGGAGGCAGCAGUGAGGAAUAUUGGUCAAUGGACGAAAGUCUGAACCAGCCAAGUAGCCGUGCAGGAUGACGGCCCUAUGGGUUGUAAACUGCUUUUAUACAGGGAUAAAGUCGGGAACGUUGUUCCCGUUUGUAGGUACUGUAUGAAUAAGGACCGGCUAAUUCCGUGCCAGCCGCUGC